This 792-nucleotide ribosomal RNA is filed under the name uncultured Tomentella. RNAcentral describes it as "eukaryotic LSU rRNA". The stretch from base 211 to 365 matches the Rfam family "5.8S ribosomal RNA". The record is from RNAcentral. Lineage: Eukaryota; Fungi; Basidiomycota; Agaricomycetes; Thelephorales; Thelephoraceae.
AGGAUCAUUACUGAACUGUCCACGGGAGCUGUUGCUGGCCCUCGGAAGGGGGCACGUGCACGCUCUGUUUACUCAUCCACUCACCCCUGUGCACCCUCUGUACUUCUAUGGCCUUGGGGACCCCGUCCCCUUGCCGUGAUCCUACGUCUUUACACACACCCCGUAACAAAGUAUCAUGGAAUGUAUGUCUCGUUUAACGCAAUACAAUACAACUUUCAGCAACGGAUCUCUUGGCUCUCGCAUCGAUGAAGAACGCUUCGAAAUGCGAUAAGUAAUGUGAAUUGCAGAAUUCAGUGAAUCAUCGAAUCUUUGAACGCACCUUGCGCCCUUUGGCUAUUCUGAAGGGCAUGCCUGUUUGAGUAUCAUGAACACCUCGACUCUCAUGGUCCGCCGUGAGGAGCUUGGACUUUGGGGGUCUUGCCGGCCUAGCGUCGGCUCCUCUCAAAUGGAUCAUCUUCCCAGUGUUUGGUGGCGUCACAGGUGUGAUAACUAUCUACGCUUGUGGUUUUCCGCCAUUAACCUUCAACAAUGGAGGUUCGCUGGAGCUCACAGAUGUCUCUCCUUGGGGAGGACGGCUUCUUGAAUGUCUGAUCUCAAAUCAGGUAGGACUACCCGCUGAACUUAAGCAUAUCAAUAAGCGGAGGAAAAGAAACUAACAAGGAUUCCCCUAGUAACUGCGAGUGAAGCGAGAAGAGCUCAAAUUUAAAAUCUGGCGUGCCUCUGGCCGUCCGAGUUGUAGACUGGAGAAGCGUUUUCCGUGCUGGACCGUGUAAAAGUCUCCUGAACUCCUGA